Molecule: small nuclear RNA, 107 nt
Filed under: Carlito syrichta (Philippine tarsier)
Lineage: Eukaryota; Metazoa; Chordata; Mammalia; Primates; Tarsiidae
Source: RNAcentral
GUGCCCACUUCAGUGGCACAUAUACUGACACUGGAACAAUACAGAGAAGAUUAGCAUGGCCCCUGUGCAAGGAUAACAUGCAAAUUUGUGAAGUGUUCCAUAUCAAA